AGUGAACGCUGGCGGUAGGCCUAAAACAUGCAAGUCGAACGGCAGCACAGUAAGAGCUUGCUCUUACGGGUGGCGAGUGGCGGACGGGUGAGGUAUACAUCGGACUCUACUUUUUCGUGGGGGAGACGAAAGGCAAAUUAAUACUAAAACCGAUUACCACCUACGGGUGAAGGACGGGGAUCUCCGGCCCUUUCGGGUUUGAAGAUGCCGAUGUCGGAUUAGCUAGUUGGCGGGGUAAAGGCCUACCAAGGCGACGAUCCGUAGCUGGUCUGAGAGGAUGAUCAGCCACACUGGAACUGAGACACGGUCCAGACUCCUACGGGAGGCAGCAGUGGGGAAUAUUGGACAAUGGGCGCAAGCCUGAUCCAGCCAUACCGCGUGGGUGAAGAAGGCCUUCGGGUUGUAAAGCCCUUUUGUUGGGAAAGAAAAGCAGCAGGCUAAUACCCCGCUGUUAUGACGGUACCCAAAGAAUAAGCACCGGCUAACUUCGUG
This 492-nucleotide ribosomal RNA is filed under the name uncultured bacterium. RNAcentral's name for it is "partial 16S ribosomal RNA". It matches the Rfam family "Bacterial small subunit ribosomal RNA", at positions 29 to 507 of the family's 1533-position model. The record is from RNAcentral.